Molecule: ribosomal RNA, 482 nt
Filed under: uncultured bacterium
Lineage: Bacteria
Description: partial 16S ribosomal RNA
Rfam family: Bacterial small subunit ribosomal RNA
Source: RNAcentral
AUUGAACGCUGGCGGCAUGCCUUACACAUGCAAGUCGAACGGUAACGCGCCUCCGGUUUGCGACUAGUGGCGACGGGGUGAGUAAUACAUCGGAACGUGCCCGAUCCUUGUGUUUCACUAUGCGUAAGCUUUGCUAAUACCGCAUACGAUCUACUGAUCAAUGCAGGGGACUGCAGGGCCUUGCGCGGACGUUGCGGCCGAUGGCAGCUUAUUUAGUUGGUGGUAUAAGAGUUUACCAAGACGACGAUCUGUAGCUGGUCUGAGAGGAUGAUCAGCCACACUGGGACUGAGACACGGCCCAGAAUACUAAGGGAGGCAGCAGAGGGGAAUGGUGGGCAAUGGGCGAAAGCAUGAUCCAGCCAUGCCGAGUGCGGGAUGAAGGCCUUCGGGUUGUAAAGAGCUUUUGUAGGGAAAGAAAGGCUUUCGUUUAAGACAGGAGGGGAAUGACGGUACCGGAAGAAGAAGCACCGGCUAACUACGUG